CAUAUCAAUAAGCGGAGGAAAAGAAACUAACAAGGAUUCCCCUAGUAACUGCGAGUGAAGCGGGAAAAGCUCAAAUUUAAAAUCUGUCAGUCUUUGGCUGUCCGAGUUGUAAUCUAGAGAAGUGUUAUCCGCGCUGGACCGUGUACAAGUCUCCUGGAAUGGAGCGUCAUAGAGGGUGAGAAUCCCGUCUCUGACACGGACUACCAGGGCUUUGUGAUGCGCUCUCAAAGAGUCGAGUUGUUUGGGAAUGCAGCUCAAAAUGGGUGGUAAAUUCCAUCUAAAGCUAAAUAUUGGCGAGAGACCGAUAGCGAACAAGUACCGUGAGGGAAAGAUGAAAAGAACUUUGGAAAGAGAGUUAAACAGUACGUGAAAUUGCUGAAAGGGAAACGCUUGAAGUCAGUCGCGUUGUCCAGGGAUCAACCUUGCUUUUGCUUGGUGUACUUUCUGGUUGACGGGUCAGCAUCAAUUUUGAUCAUUGGAAAAAGGUUAAGGGAAUGUGGCAUCUUUGGAUGUGUUAUAGCCCUUGAUUGUAUACAAUGGUUGGGAUUGAGGAACUCAGCACGCCGAAAGGCCGGGUUUUAACCACGUACGUGCUUAGGAUGCUGGCAUAAUGGCUUUAAUCGACCCGUCUUGAAACACGGACCAAGGAGUCUAACAUGCCUGCGAGUGUUUGGGUGGAAAACCCGAGCGCGUAAUGAAAGUGAAAGUUGAGAUCCCUGUCGUGGGGAGCAUCGACGCCCGGACCAGACCUUUUGUGACGGUUCCGCGGUAGAGCAUGUAUGUUGGGACCCGAAAGAUGGUGAACUAUGCCUGAAUAGGGUGAAGCCAGAGGAAACUCUGGUGGAGGCUCGUAGCGAUUCUGACGUGCAAAUCGAUCGUCAAAUUUGGGUAUAGGGGCGAAAGACUAAUCG
This 911-nucleotide ribosomal RNA is filed under the name Cortinarius durifoliorum. RNAcentral describes it as "partial large subunit ribosomal RNA". It matches the Rfam family "Eukaryotic large subunit ribosomal RNA", at positions 39 to 937 of the family's 3401-position model. Lineage: Eukaryota; Fungi; Basidiomycota; Agaricomycetes; Agaricales; Cortinariaceae. The record is from RNAcentral.